This 425-nucleotide ribosomal RNA is filed under the name uncultured bacterium. Its description in RNAcentral is "partial 16S ribosomal RNA". It matches the Rfam family "Bacterial small subunit ribosomal RNA", at positions 354 to 796 of the family's 1533-position model. The record is from RNAcentral.
GUGAGGAAUUUUGCGCAAUGGGGGCAACCCUGACGCAGCGACGCCGCGUGGAGGACGAAGUCUUUCGGGAUGUAAACUCCUGUCAGUGGGGACGAUAAUGACGGUACCCACAGAGGAAGCACCGGCUAACUUCGUGCCAGCAGCCGCGGUAAGACGGAGGGUGCAAGCGUUGUUCGGAAUUACUGGGCGUAAAGCGUACGUAGGCGGCAAGUUAAGUUCAAUGUUAAAGCCCACGGCUCAACCGAGGAGAUGCAUUGAAUACUGGCUAGCUAGAGGGUGUUAGAGGAAGACGGAAUUCCCAGUGUAGCGGUGAAAUGAGUAGAUAUUGGGAGGAACAUCGGUAGCGAAAGCGGUCUUCUGGGACACACCUGACGCUGAGGUACGAAAGCGUGGGGAGCAAACGGGAUUAGAUACCCGUGUAGUCC